UGAGGAAUAUUGGGCAAUGGGCGCAAGCCUGACCCAGCCAUGCCGCGUGCAGGAAGACGGUCCUAUGGAUUGUAAACUGCUUUUAUACGGGAAGAAACACUCCCUCGUGAGGGAGCUUGACGGUACCGUAAGAAUAAGGAUCGGCUAACUCCGUGCCAGCAGCCGCGGUAAUACGGAGGAUCCAAGCGUUAUCCGGAAUCAUUGGGUUUAAAGGGUCCGUAGGCGGCCUUAUAAGUCAGUGGUGAAAUCCCAUCGCUCAACGAUGGAACUGCCAUUGAUACUGUAAGGCUUGAAUAAUUGUGAAGUAACUAGAAUAUGUAGUGUAGCGGUGAAAUGCUUAGAUAUUACAUGGAAUACCAAUUGCGAAGGCAGGUUACUAACAAUUGAUUGACGCUGAUGG
Molecule: ribosomal RNA, 400 nt
Filed under: uncultured bacterium
Lineage: Bacteria
Description: bacterial SSU rRNA
Rfam family: Bacterial small subunit ribosomal RNA
Source: RNAcentral